This 361-nucleotide ribosomal RNA is filed under the name uncultured bacterium. RNAcentral's name for it is "partial 16S ribosomal RNA". It matches the Rfam family "Bacterial small subunit ribosomal RNA", at positions 338 to 696 of the family's 1533-position model. The record is from RNAcentral.
CCUACGGGUGACCGCAGUGAGGAAUAUUGGUCAAUGGACGGAAGUCUGAACCAGCCAAGCCGCGUGCAGGAAGACGGCUCUAUGGGUUGUAAACUGCUUUUGUUCGAGGAUAAACAUGAAUACGUGUAUUCAGCUGCCAGUACCGUAAGCAUAAGGAUCGGCUAAAUCCGUGCCAGCAGCCGCGGUAAUACGGAGGUUCCGGGCGUUAUCCGGAUUUAUUGGGUUUAAAGGGUGCGCAGGCGGAUGCAUAAGUGUGAGGUGAAAUGUCCGGGCUUAACCGGGGAACUGCAUCGAAAACUGGUGGUCUAGAGAGCAGAUGCGGUAGGCGGAAUGUGUGGUGUAGCGGUGAAAUGCUUAGAGA